This 107-nucleotide small nuclear RNA is filed under the name Salvator merianae (Argentine black and white tegu). Lineage: Eukaryota; Metazoa; Chordata; Lepidosauria; Squamata; Teiidae. The record is from RNAcentral.
GUGCUUGCUCCGGCAGCACAUAUACUAAAAUUGGAAUGAUAUAGAAAACAUUAGCAUGACCCCUGCGUGAGGAUGACAUGCAAAUUCAUGAAGUGUUCCAUAUUUAU